RNAcentral lists this transfer RNA (73 nucleotides) under Stegodyphus mimosarum. It matches the Rfam family "tRNA". From Rfam's summary of the family: Transfer RNA (tRNA) molecules are approximately 80 nucleotides in length. Their secondary structure includes four short double-helical elements and three loops (D, anti-codon, and T loops). Further hydrogen bonds mediate the characteristic L-shaped molecular structure. tRNAs have two regions of fundamental functional importance: the anti-codon, which is responsible for specific mRNA codon recognition, and the 3' end, to which the tRNAs corresponding amino acid is attached (by aminoacyl-tRNA synthetases). tRNAs cope with the degeneracy of the genetic code in two manners: having more than one tRNA (with a specific anti-codon) for a particular amino acid; and 'wobble' base-pairing, i.e. permitting non-standard base-pairing at the 3rd anti-codon position. The record is from Rfam by way of RNAcentral. Lineage: Eukaryota; Metazoa; Arthropoda; Arachnida; Araneae; Eresidae.
ACUUCAUCAGUGUAAUUGGAAGCACGUCCGGCUAGCAAUCGGAAGAUUUGGAGUUCGAAUCCCAGAUAGGGUA